AAACCAUGAUGUGGACACUGAUUGGUGUAGCUUCUAAACCUCUCCCAAGCCUCCCCAAAGCUUUCAUUGUUAUGUUGCUUGAAGCUUGAAAUUUGGUUUCUCAGCUU
Molecule: small nucleolar RNA, 107 nt
Filed under: Eutrema salsugineum
Lineage: Eukaryota; Viridiplantae; Streptophyta; Magnoliopsida; Brassicales; Brassicaceae
Description: Plant small nucleolar RNA R71
Rfam family: Plant small nucleolar RNA R71
About the family: R71 is a member of the C/D box family of snoRNAs containing the C (UGAUGA) and D (CUGA) box motifs. Multiple nearly identical copies of this snoRNA have been identified in Arabidopsis, and it is thought to function as a 2'-O-ribose methylation guide for 18S ribosomal RNA.
Source: Rfam by way of RNAcentral